Trichonephila inaurata madagascariensis is the source of this 73-nucleotide non-coding RNA. The record is from the annotation of a GenBank genome assembly. Lineage: Eukaryota; Metazoa; Arthropoda; Arachnida; Araneae; Nephilidae.
GGGUGCAUGGCUCAGUGGUAGAGCAUUCGACUACAGAUUGAGAGGUCCCGGGGUUCAAACCCCGAUGCUCCCU